AGGAAACUGUUGCCAUAACACAUACAGUACUUCAUCAAAUACACACACAGGACUGAACCAAACCAAACUAAUGGAACUUUUCUGUCCAGCUACAGCAGAGCAUAUACCCAUUAGACAGUGCUUCACAGUGCAGGAGCAAAGGUUUUAUAGACCUAUGCCCCAGAUUCUUUGAAUAUAAACGUUUCCCCCAAGAUUUUCUUCUGGAAGAGAAAGGCUGGGAUGUAAAGACAGCAGAACAAAGCGAUCAGCACUCUGAAGAACAAGAUGAUUUACUGCUUUCUGUCAGUCUCAGCGCUGAUUCUUCCUGCAGAACGAUCAACCUGUCAACCUCUUCCACAUCUCCACCGGCAACCCUGCCUGAAGAACAGUCAUCCUUUAUGAGCCUUCCUUAGGCGUCUCCCAUCCCAACAUCAC
This is a long non-coding RNA of Cyprinus carpio carpio, 414 nucleotides long. The record is from Ensembl. Lineage: Eukaryota; Metazoa; Chordata; Actinopteri; Cypriniformes; Cyprinidae.